GAACUGCGAUAAGUAAUGUGAAUUGCAGAAUUCAGUGAAUCAUCGAGUCUUUGAACGCACAUUGCGCCCCCUGGCAUUCCGGGGGGCAUGCCUGUCCGAGCGUCAUUGCUGCCCUUCAAGCCCGGCUUGUGUGUUGGGUCGUCGUCCCCUCCGGGGGACGGGCCCGAAAGGCAGCGGCGGCACCGCGUCCGGUCCUCGAGCGUAUGGGGCUUUGUCACCCGCUCGAUAAGGACCGGCCGGGCGCCAGCCGGCGUCUCAACCUUUUUUUCUCAGGUUGACCUCGGAUCAGGUAGGGAUACCCGCUGAACUUAAGC
This 314-nucleotide unclassified non-coding RNA is filed under the name plant metagenome. RNAcentral's name for it is "partial contains 5.8S ribosomal RNA, internal transcribed spacer 2, and large subunit ribosomal RNA". The stretch from base 1 to 105 matches the Rfam family "5.8S ribosomal RNA", at positions 50 to 154 of the family's 154-position model. The record is from RNAcentral.